GAUGAACGCUGGCGGCGUGCCUAAUACAUGCAAGUCGAGCGAACAGACGAGGAGCUUGCUCCUCUGACGUUAGCGGCGGACGGGUGAGUAACACGUGGAUAACCUACCUAUAAGACUGGGAUAACUUCGGGAAACCGGAGCUAAUACCGGAUAAUAUAUUGAACCGCAUGGUUCAAUAGUGAAAGACGGUUUUGCUGUCACUUAUAGAUGGAUCCGCGCCGCAUUAGCUAGUUGGUAAGGUAACGGCUUACCAAGGCAACGAUGCGUAGCCGACCUGAGAGGUGGAUAGCCCACACUGGAACUGAGACGCGGUCCAGACUCCUACGGGAGGCCGCAGUAGGGAAUCUUCCGCAAUGGGCGAAAGCCUGACGGAGCAACGCCGCGUGAGUGAUGAAGGUCUUCGGAUCGUAAAACUCUGUUAUUAGGGAAGAACAAAUGUGUAAGUAACUAUGCACGUCUUGACGGUACCUAAUCAGAAAGCCACGGCUAACUACGUG
This 497-nucleotide ribosomal RNA is filed under the name uncultured bacterium. Its description in RNAcentral is "partial 16S ribosomal RNA". It matches the Rfam family "Bacterial small subunit ribosomal RNA", at positions 28 to 507 of the family's 1533-position model. The record is from RNAcentral.